This 473-nucleotide ribosomal RNA is filed under the name uncultured Planctomycetales bacterium. RNAcentral describes it as "bacterial SSU rRNA". It matches the Rfam family "Bacterial small subunit ribosomal RNA", at positions 156 to 638 of the family's 1533-position model. The record is from RNAcentral. Lineage: Bacteria; Pseudomonadati; Planctomycetota; Planctomycetia; Planctomycetales.
CGAGUGGGUAAUACCUGGCGAUUCAGCGGGGAGGCAUCUUUCUGCUGGGAAACGAGUUUCGCCUCGGGAGGGGCUCAUGUAGUAUUAGCUAGUUGGUAAGGUAACGGCUUACCAAGGCGAAGAUGCUUAGCGGGUGUGAGAGCACGACCCGCGCCACUGGCACUGAGACACUGGCCAGACUCCUACGGGAGGCUGCAGUCGAGGAUCUUCGGCAAUGGGCGCAAGCCUGACCGAGCGACGCCGCGUGUGCGAAGAAGGCCUUCGGGUUGUAAAGCACUGUCGAGGGGGAGAAAGCCCGCAAGGGUUGAUCGACCCCUGGAGGAAGCACGGGCUAAGUUCGUGCCAGCAGCCGCGGUAAGACGAACCGUGCGAACGUUGUUCGGAAUCACUGGGCUUAAAGGGCGCGUAGGCGGGUGGCCAAGUCGGUGGUGAAAUCCUCCAGCUUAACUGGAGAACUGCCUUCGAUACUGGUU